AUUGAACGCUGGCGGCAUGCUUUACACAUGCAAGUCGAACGGCAGCGCGGGCUUCGGCCUGGCGGCGAGUGGCGAACGGGUGAGUAAUGCAUCGGAACGUGCCCAGUAGUGGGGGAUAGCCCGGCGAAAGCCGGAUUAAUACCGCAUACGACCUGAGGGUGAAAGCGGGGGACCGAAAGGCCUCGCGCUAUUGGAGCGGCCGAUGUCGGAUUAGCUAGUUGGUGGGGUAAAGGCUUACCAAGGCGACGAUCCGUAGCUGGUCUGAGAGGACGACCAGCCACACUGGGACUGAGACACGGCCCAGACUCCUACGGGAGGCAGCAGUGGGGAAUUUUGAACAAUGGGGGCAACCCUGAUCCAGCCAUGCCGCGUGCGGGAAGAAGGCCUUCGGGUUGUAAACCGCUUUUGUUCGGGAAGAAAUCCUCUGGGCUAAUACCCCGGGGGGAUGACGGUACCGGAAGAAUAAGCACCGGCUAACUACGUG
This 484-nucleotide ribosomal RNA is filed under the name uncultured bacterium. RNAcentral describes it as "partial 16S ribosomal RNA". It matches the Rfam family "Bacterial small subunit ribosomal RNA", at positions 29 to 507 of the family's 1533-position model. The record is from RNAcentral.